GAAAUGCGAUAAGUAGUGUGAAUUGCAGAAUUCAGUGAAUCAUCGAAUCUUUGAACGCACAUUGCGCCCCUUGGUAUUCCAUGGGGCAUGCCUGUUCGAGCGUCAUUUGUACCCUCAAGCUCUGCUUGGUGUUGGGUGUUUGUCCCCGUCUCCGCGCGUGGACUCGCCCCAAAGUGAUUGGCAGCCGGCGUACUGGUCCCGGAGCGCAGCACAUGUUGCGCAAACGAGUGCCUUGGUACGGCGGCGUCCAUAAGCCCCUCUCUCACGCUCUUGACCUCGGAUCAGGUAGGGAUACCCGCUGAACUUAAGC
Molecule: unclassified non-coding RNA, 310 nt
Filed under: plant metagenome
Description: partial contains 5.8S ribosomal RNA, internal transcribed spacer 2, and large subunit ribosomal RNA
Rfam family: 5.8S ribosomal RNA (bases 1-105)
Source: RNAcentral